GACGAACGCUGGCGGCAUGCCUAAUACAUGCAAGUAGGACGCAGUUGCGAACGGGUGAGUAACGCGUAGGUAACUACCUAUUAGAGGGGGAUAACUAUUGGAAACGAUAGCUAAUACCGCAUACUAGUAGAUGGACCUGCGUUGUAUUAGGUAGUAGGUAGGGUAAUGGCCUACCUAGGCAACGAAACAAAGCCUACCUGAGAGGGUGAUCGCCCACACGAGGACUGAGACACGUCCCAGACUCCUACGGUAGGCAGCAGUAGGGAGUCUUCCGCACUGGGGGGAACCCUGACCGAGCAACGCCGCGUGAGUGAAGAGGGUUUUCGGAUCGUAAAUCUCUGUUGUUAAGGAAGCGGUACUUACCCAGAAAGGGACGGCUAACUACGUGCCAGCAGCCGCGGUAAUAC
RNAcentral lists this ribosomal RNA (407 nucleotides) under uncultured bacterium. Its description in RNAcentral is "partial 16S ribosomal RNA". It matches the Rfam family "Bacterial small subunit ribosomal RNA", at positions 28 to 526 of the family's 1533-position model. The record is from RNAcentral.